CAAAGCUGCGAGGUUACGAACAGAAACGUCCUACAAGGCCGGUUCGACCAGGCGAGUGAGCACAACAUCACGAAGCCGUUCCCAGACGGUCGUUCAGGUAAAGGGCGAGCUUGCGCAGCGAAAG
RNAcentral lists this non-coding RNA (124 nucleotides) under Lignipirellula cremea. The record is from RNAcentral. Lineage: Bacteria; Pseudomonadati; Planctomycetota; Planctomycetia; Pirellulales; Pirellulaceae.